Molecule: transfer RNA, 74 nt
Filed under: Fibrobacter sp.
Lineage: Bacteria; Pseudomonadati; Fibrobacterota; Fibrobacteria; Fibrobacterales; Fibrobacteraceae
Description: tRNA-Arg
Rfam family: tRNA
About the family: Transfer RNA (tRNA) molecules are approximately 80 nucleotides in length.
Source: RNAcentral
GCCUUCGUAGCUCAGUUGGAUAGAGCAACUGCCUUCUAAGCAGUGGGUCGUGAGUUCGAUUCUCGCCGGAGGUA